Molecule: long non-coding RNA, 205 nt
Filed under: Lathyrus oleraceus (garden pea)
Lineage: Eukaryota; Viridiplantae; Streptophyta; Magnoliopsida; Fabales; Fabaceae
Description: Pisum sativum (pea) long non-coding RNA (PSAT_LNC001761)
Source: RNAcentral
UUAAAUCUAUAAAUAGAGGGAGUAACCCUUAUUCUUGUAAUGAAGUGAAUAGAACAUUCAUAACAUUGUAUUCACAGUAUUUUGCAGUUACAAAGUGAAUAAGAAAUUUUCCACAGUUUGUGGGCAGAGAGAUACUCUGCAGAAUUUUAAUUCUUCUUCUCCUUCACCGUUCUUUACUUUUUUUCUUUCUCCAUUGUUCUUCUCU